UGAACGCUGGCGGCGUGCCUAAUACAUGCAAGUCGAGCGAACAGACGAGGAGCUUGCUCCUCUGACGUUAGCGGCGGACGGGUGAGUAACACGUGGAUAACCUACCUAUAAGACUGGGAUAACUUCGGGAAACCGGAGCUAAUACCGGAUAAUAUAUUGAACCGCAUGGUUCAAUAGUGAAAGACGGUUUUGCUGUCACUUAUAGAUGGAUCCGCGCCGCAUUAGCUAGUUGGUAAGGUAACGGCUUACCAAGGCAACGAUGCGUAGCCGACCUGAGAGGGUGAUCGGCCACACUGGAACUGAGACACGGUCCAGACUCCUACGGGAGGCAGCAGUAGGGAAUCUUCCGCAAUGGGCGAAAGCCUGACGGAGCAGCGCCGCGUGAGUGAUGAAGGUCUUCGGAUCGUAAAACUCUGUUAUUAGGGAAGAACAAAUGUGUAAGUAUCUAUGCACGUCUUGACGGUACCUAAUCAGAAAGCCACGGCUAACUACGU
Molecule: ribosomal RNA, 494 nt
Filed under: uncultured bacterium
Lineage: Bacteria
Description: partial 16S ribosomal RNA
Rfam family: Bacterial small subunit ribosomal RNA
Source: RNAcentral